UCUACUGUUGUAUUAUGAUAUUUGUGUGAAGCUAGAGCAAUGUCAUGGAGCCUAUUUCCAUUCGUAUUGUUAUGGGAUUUGGGAAACAUACAUGUUUUGCAAUGCCAAGACUUCCAUGGUUAAAGAAUAUCAUUAGAAUACUUAAAAAAACCUUUGUCUAGGCAUUAUUAUGUGGACUAUGUGCCAGAACUCUAUUGUUGUUCAGUGAACAACUCAAGCUAGAUACAUUUUGCAUGCUGUGAAGGAUCCUUAUGGUAGGAGAGCAAUGAAGCUGCAAUCAUGGUCACAUGGAAGGGUCCAAUGUGGUAGUUGUGAGCUGGAAUGCUUUAUUUCUACAAAAAUAGAACUUUGAAAUGCUUUAAAUUAUCAUGCUGUCACCGCAUCUUGCACUUAUAAAGGUUGUUGGCCUGAAAGGUGGUUUAGUUUAUAUGGAGAAGUUGGUCUUUGCUUUUCGGAACAAAGCAAAGAAUUGUUGCAUUUUAGUUGUAAUAAGAUUACCUAUCACUUGCAAUGUUCUCUCACCAAACCUCAGAGUGGGCAAUCUUUCCUGACAUUAAAUGCUUUUAAAUCCUCUUCUUGCCUUAAAUUCUCUUAUAUACUUCUAAUAGCUUUUUCGCUGAUCCUGUUCUAGAAAGAACGUUGAAAUACAAAAUUGGAGAAUCCUUCUAAAUGCAUGCUGCAUCCGACUAACCAGUUGUUACACGGUGACUUACAGCCAGAAGUAAUCUUAUCUGGCUUCACUAGUCCCUCUAUCUUCUUUUACAUCUAUUAUAUAUUUAUGUCCUUUUGAUCAUAAGCAUGCUUUUAAUUUGUGCAUUUCCAUUUGAAACCUUCUUCAGUUCAAUAAGAAAGAGUCCGGUGUUUAUCAUGAACAUGUCUUGUGUUCAUCAUGAAUAUGUCUUGUGUAAUGAAGCUGACUGUAAAUUGAUUUUAUAAACUAUUGAAUUUUCCUUUGAAUAAAAUUAAGCACUGUGCUUUUUAUAUUUAUGUUAACUUUUGUUCAAGCUAGAGAGCAA
Molecule: long non-coding RNA, 1016 nt
Filed under: Phoenix dactylifera (date palm)
Lineage: Eukaryota; Viridiplantae; Streptophyta; Magnoliopsida; Arecales; Arecaceae
Description: long non-coding RNA (PDAC_LNC015128)
Source: RNAcentral